CGCCGCUCGGCCCGCGUUUCCCUCGGCUCUUGGUUCCGAAGUGGGGAUGGUGGCCGGGGCUGACCUACGUGGUAAAUGGAUUUUGUAUGUGGAGUACAAGAAAGAAAACGUCCCAGAACACAUUGGUAGAAAGCUGAGUAUUCCGGAAGAGGUUUACAGUACAGUUCAGCUUUUACACACACAUGUAGCCAGCAGUAUGAGAAGUUUGGCCAUUCUUCAGCAUCGGUGUUGUCCUUAGCCACUAAACACAGAUGAAGCUCUGCAGUAGGCCGUUCUGUUCCUGCCAGGCUAUAAGGAAAUCUGCAGUUAUCACCUCUGUAAACUGGAAAGUUUAGCCCACGGCAGCUACCUACGAGGGAGAAGAUUAUACGAGCAGUCUCCCUCUUCCCCCAAUUAGAUGAGAACUGUUGUACGGUCUGUUUAAAAAUCAGAAUGUGUGGUACUGAGGUUCUGAUUAAAAGGCUUCUACACGAGAAGUAUUGAUUAUAUUUGUGUUGUUGCUG
RNAcentral lists this long non-coding RNA (503 nucleotides) under Gallus gallus (chicken). RNAcentral's name for it is "long non-coding RNA NONGGAT007193". Lineage: Eukaryota; Metazoa; Chordata; Aves; Galliformes; Phasianidae. The record is from RNAcentral.